UACGUAGGGGGCAAGCGUUGUCCGGAAUCAUUGGGCGUAAAGCGCGUGUAGGCGGCUUGGUAAGUCUGCUCUGAAAGCCCGGGGCUCAACCCCGGGAGGCGGGUGGAUACUGUCAAGCUCGAGUCCGGAAGAGGAGUGUGGAAUUCCUGGUGUAGCGGUGAAAUGCGCAGAUAUCGAGAGGAACACCAGUGGCGAAGGCGAGUCCCUGGACAUCUCCUGACACUGAGGCACGAAAGCUAGGGGAGCAAACAGG
RNAcentral lists this ribosomal RNA (253 nucleotides) under uncultured bacterium. RNAcentral's name for it is "partial 16S ribosomal RNA". It matches the Rfam family "Bacterial small subunit ribosomal RNA", at positions 524 to 776 of the family's 1533-position model. The record is from RNAcentral.